AGAGUUUGAUCCUGGCUCAGAAUCAACGCUGGCGGCGCGCCUAACACAUGCAAGUCGUACGAGAAAUCCUGGGCAACUGGGAAAGUAAAGUGGCGCACGGGUGAGUAACGCGUGGGUAACCUACCCUUGGACUUGGGAUAACUCCGCGAAAGCGGGGUUAAUACCGAAUGAUAUUCCGAUCUCUAAGGGGGUCGGAAUCAAAGGUGGCCUCUGCAUGCAAGCUAUUGUCUAAGGAUGGGCCCGCGUACCAUUAGCUAGUUGGUAGGGUAAUGGCCUACCAAGGCAACGAUGGUUAGCUGGUCUUAGAGGAUGGCCAGCCACACUGGAACUGAGACACGGUCCAGACUCCUACGGGAGGCAGCAGUGGGGAAUCUUGCGCAAUGGGGGAAACCCUGACGCAGCAACGCCGCGUGGGUGAUGAAGGCCUUCGGGUCGUAAAGCCCUGUCAGGUGGGAAGAAACAUAUCGGUGCUAAUAUCACCGAUGUUUGACGGUACCGCCGGAGGAAGCACCGGCUAACUCCGUGCCAGCAGCCGCGGUAAUACGGAGGGUGCAAGCGUUGUUCGGAAUUACUGGGCGUAAAGCGCGUGUAGGCGGUCGAGCAAGUCAGAUGUGAAAGCCUUCCGCUUAACGGAAGAAGUGCAUUUGAAACUACUCGGCUGGAGUACGGGAGAGGAGAGUGGAAUUCCCGGUGUAGAGGUGAAAUUCGUAGAUAUCGGGAGGAACACCAGUGGCGAAGGCGGCUCUCUGGUCCGAUACUGACGCUGAGACGCGAAAGCGUGGGGAGCAAACAGGAUUAGA
This 800-nucleotide ribosomal RNA is filed under the name uncultured bacterium. Its description in RNAcentral is "bacterial SSU rRNA". It matches the Rfam family "Bacterial small subunit ribosomal RNA", at positions 8 to 782 of the family's 1533-position model. The record is from RNAcentral.